CUACGGGACGCAGCAGUAGGGAAUCUUCCACAAUGGGCGAAAGCCUGAUGGAGCGACGCCGCGUGAGGGAUGAAGGUCUUCGGAUCGUAAACCUCUGUCAGCAGGGAAGAACGGUCACUGUGCUAAUCAGCAGUGAAUUGACGGUACCUGCAAAGGAAGCACCGGCUAACUCCGUGCCAGCAGCCGCGGUAAUACGGAGGGUGCGAGCGUUAAUCGGAAUUACUGGGCGUAAAGCGCUCGUAGGCGGUAUGUCAAGUCAAGGGUGAAAUCCCCGCGCUCAACGUGGGAACUGCCUUUGAAACUGG
This 305-nucleotide ribosomal RNA is filed under the name uncultured bacterium. RNAcentral describes it as "bacterial SSU rRNA". It matches the Rfam family "Bacterial small subunit ribosomal RNA", at positions 339 to 636 of the family's 1533-position model. The record is from RNAcentral.